RNAcentral lists this ribosomal RNA (492 nucleotides) under uncultured bacterium. Its description in RNAcentral is "partial 16S ribosomal RNA". It matches the Rfam family "Bacterial small subunit ribosomal RNA", at positions 29 to 507 of the family's 1533-position model. The record is from RNAcentral.
AGUGAACGCUGGCGGUAGGCCUAACACAUGCAAGUCGAACGGCAGCACAGUAAGAGCUUGCUCUUACGGGUGGCGAGUGGCGGACGGGUGAGGAAUACAUCGGAAUCUACUUUUUCGUGGGGGAUAACGUAGGAAAACUUACGCUAAUACCGCAUACGACCUACGGGUGAAAGCAGGGGAUCUUCGGACCUUGCGCGAUUGAAUGAGCCGAUGUCGGAUUAGCUAGUUGGCGGGGUAAAGGCCCACCAAGGCGACGAUCCGUAGCUGGUCUGAGAGGAUGAUCAGCCGCACUGGAACUGAGACACGGUCCAGACUCCUACGGGAGGCAGCAGUGGGGAAUAUUGGACAAUGGGCGCAAGCCUGAUCCAGCCAUACCGCGUGGGUGAAGAAGGCCUUCGGGUUGUAAAGCCCUUUUGUUGGGAAAGAAAAGCAGCAGGUUAAUACCCCGCUGUUCUGACGGUACCCAAAGAAUAAGCACCGGCUAACUUCGUG